AAGAACUUAGUUUAAAUUUAGAAUUUUUGAUUUUUAAUCAGAAGGUUUGAAGUUUUUG
Molecule: transfer RNA, 58 nt
Filed under: Gongylonema pulchrum
Lineage: Eukaryota; Metazoa; Nematoda; Chromadorea; Rhabditida; Gongylonematidae
Description: tRNA-Lys
Source: RNAcentral